GAGGAAUAUUGGUCAAUGGACGAGAGUCUGAACCAGCCAAGUAGCGUGAAGGAUGAAGGUUCUAUGGAUUGUAAACUUCUUUUAUACGGGAAUAAACGAAUCCACGCGUGGAUUUUUGCAUGUACCGUAUGAAUAAGGAUCGGCUAACUCCGUGCCAGCAGCCGCGGUAAUACGGAGGAUCCGAGCGUUAUCCGGAUUUAUUGGGUUUAAAGGGAGCGUAGAUGGGUUGUUAAGUCAGUUGUGAAAGUUUGCGGCUCAACCGUAAAAUUGCAAUUGAUACUGGCAGUCUUGAGUACAGUUGAGGUAGGCGGAAUUCGUGGUGUAGCGGUGAAAUGCUUAGAUAUCACGAAGAACUCCGAUUGCGAAGGCAGCUUACUAACCUGUAACUGACAUUGAUGCUCGAAAGUGUGGGUAUCAAACAGGAUUAGAUACCCUGGUAGUCCACACGGUAAACGAUGAAUACUCGCUGUAGGCGAUAUACGGUCUGCGGCCAAGCGAAAGCAUUAAGUAUUCCACCUGGGGAGUACGCCGGCAACGGUGAAACUCAAAGGAAUUGACGGGGGCCCGCACAAGCGGAGGAACAUGUGGUUUAAUUCGAUGAUACGCGAGGAACCUUACCCGGGCUUAAAUUGCAACCGAAUAUGGCGGAAACGCCAUAGCUAGCAAUAGCGGUUGUGAAGGUGCUGCAUGGUUGUCGUCAGCUCGUGCCGUGAGGUGUCGGCUUAAGUGUCAUAACGAGCGCAACCCUUGCCGAUAGUUACUAACAGGUUAUGCUGAGGACUCUGUCGGGACUGCCAUCGUAAGAUGUGAGGAAGGUGGGGAUGACGUCAAAUCAGCACGGCCCUUACGUCCGGGGCUACACACGUGUUACAAUGGGGGGUACAGAGGGCUGCUACCACGCAAGUGGAUGCCAAUCCCAAAAACCUCUCUCAGUUCGGAUUGAAGUCUGCAACCCGACUUCAUGAAGCUGGAUUCGCUAGUAAUCGCGCAUCAGCCACGGCGCGGUGAAUACGUUCCCG
This 1019-nucleotide ribosomal RNA is filed under the name uncultured organism. RNAcentral describes it as "bacterial SSU rRNA". It matches the Rfam family "Bacterial small subunit ribosomal RNA", at positions 356 to 1376 of the family's 1533-position model. The record is from RNAcentral.